GACGAACGCUGGCGGCGUGCUUAACACAUGCAAGUCGAACGGAAAGGCCCUGCUUUUGUGGGGUGCUCGAGUGGCGAACGGGUGAGUAACACGUGAGUAACCUGCCCUUGACUUUGGGAUAACUUCAGGAAACUGGGGCUAAUACCGGAUAGGAGCUCCUGCUGCAUGGUGGGGGUUGGAAAGUUUCGGCGGUUGGGGAUGGACUCGCGGCUUAUCAGCUUGUUGGUGGGGUAGUGGCUUACCAAGGCUUUGACGGGUAGCCGGCCUGAGAGGGUGACCGGCCACAUUGGGACUGAGAUACGGCCCAGACUCCUACGGGAGGCAGCAGUGGGGAAUAUUGCACAAUGGGCGGAAGCCUGAUGCAGCAACGCCGCGUGCGGGAUGACGGCCUUCGGGUUGUAAACCGCUUUCGCCUGUGACGAAGCGUGAGUGACGGUAAUGGGUAAAGAAGCACCGGCUAACUACGUGCCAGCAGCCGCGGUGAUACGUAGGGUGCGAGCGUUGUCCGGAUUUAUUGGGCGUAAGGGCUCGUAGGUGGUUGAUCGCGUCGGAAGUGUAAUCUUGGGGCUUAACCCUGAGCGUGCUUUCGAUACGGGUUGACUUGAGGAAGGUAGGGGAGAAUGGAAUUCCUGGUGGAGCGGUGGAAUGCGCAGAUAUCAGGAGGAACACCAGUGGCGAAGGCGGUUCUCUGGGCCUUUCCUGACGCUGAGGAGCGAAAGCGUGGGGAGCGAACGGGCUUAGAUACCCUGGUAGUCCACGCUGUAAACGGUGGGUACUAGGUGUGGGGUCCAUUCCACGGGUUCCGUGCCGUAGCUAACGCUUUAAGUACCCCGCCUGGGGAGUACGGCCGCAAGGCUAAAACUCAAAGGAAUUGACGGGGCCCCGCACAAGCGGCGGAGCAUGCGGAUUAAUUCGAUGCAACGCGUAGAACCUUACCUGGGUUUGACAUGGAUCGGGAGUGCUCAGAGAUGGGUGUGCCUCUUUUGGGGUCGGUUCACAGGUGGUGCAUGGCUGUCGUCAGCUCGUGUCGUGAGAUGUUGGGUUAAGUCCCGCAACGAGCGCAACCCUUGUUCACUGUUGCCAGCACGUUAUGGUGGGGACUCAGUGGAGACCGCCGGGGUCAACUCGGAGGAAGGUGGGGAUGACGUCAAGUCAUCAUGCCCCUUAUGUCCAGGGCUUCACGCAUGCUACAAUGGCUGGUACAGAGAGUGGCGAGCCUGUGAGGGUGAGCGAAUCUCGGAAAGCCGGUCUCAGUUCGGAUUGGGGUCUGCAACUCGACCUCAUGAAGUCGGAGUCGCUAGUAAUCGCAGAUCAGCAACGCUGCGGUGAAUACGUUCCCGGG
Molecule: ribosomal RNA, 1342 nt
Filed under: uncultured bacterium
Lineage: Bacteria
Description: 16S ribosomal RNA
Rfam family: Bacterial small subunit ribosomal RNA
Source: RNAcentral